GCGACGAUGGGGUGGGAGGGACAAGAGAACUCCUGUGACCCCUCUGCUGGUUAUUUCUGCCUCUCCAUCCCCGCAAACUAGUAAUGAAGCCCGAUUCCUUAAGCCCGUCUUCCAUCAUGCCCUCCCUACAACUCUCAGCUUCGCAGAAGGCGAGCACAAGGUUCCUAAGGAUCUCAGAUAAAGUCACAACAUGAGGGUAGGGGGCAUUCUCCAACUUAGCCCCAACACAGACUGCUUUCCCCUCACUCUCUUCCCCUAAAACCCGCCCCAAUGUAAAGCGAAAACCCCUAAUCUGUGCCGCUGGAAAAUUACAGCAAAAGUCAAAAGUU
Phascolarctos cinereus (koala) is the source of this 329-nucleotide non-coding RNA. NCBI's taxonomy places the organism in Eukaryota, Metazoa, Chordata, Mammalia, Diprotodontia, Phascolarctidae. The record is from RefSeq and is a predicted model, not a curated record.